This 1601-nucleotide small RNA is filed under the name Histoplasma capsulatum. Its description in RNAcentral is "hypothetical RNA". Lineage: Eukaryota; Fungi; Ascomycota; Eurotiomycetes; Onygenales; Ajellomycetaceae. The record is from RNAcentral. RNAcentral also lists the same sequence under 1 other name.
UUCAAUGAUCGACGUGUGAAGGAACAAAAAAAGAAUGAACAAAUAAAUAAUAGAAUCAGACUCAGGGUCGGAGACAUCGAACCGAAUGUCUCCAGCAUAACGUGUCGGUGUCCACAUUGCGCUGAUGAAUUCCUGGUCGACAAUGAUCCUGAGAUUGUCAGCGGACUGAUCACUGAGCAGCUAUUGUUUUUCCAAUUAAGUGAGCCGACUGAGAGAAGGAUGUGGGCAUCUCGCCUUUGAAACCCGGAAUGGCGGUUGGCAACCCGAUUCUAUUAUGUUAUCUCUCUACAACCUCUCUUAAGCUUGUGGGAGAGUCGCUAUUCAAUACGGGGAAAAAGGCACAUCUGACGAGCAAGGAGGAAAGAAGAUUAACUAAAGAUUAGAUACGAAACUAAUCCACCCCCAUUCUCUCUUAAUCAGGACUCAAUUUUCAUGUCUUUCUUCUCACGACAUCGGGAUUUUCCUUAACCAUCUGCAAGUGCUCGACCUUCUUACAGAUUACUAUUUUACCCCCGAAUCUUCGGUAUUCCAUUUCCUUUGCAACAUCGGGGUUCUACUGGGUUGGAUGAGAGCCAUUCGCCAUAAUAUCAGUUGUGAUUGCUGCGAGUAUCAUGACGAGCGCGCUUUGCCGGUGAACGGUUGGUAUUCUCGGUAUCAGGCCCGCGGGUAGAGCGUGUCUUUGUGAUCUGUUAUUUUUUUCGGCUCGGGGAAUUCACAGUCAGUCUCAAAUCUAUCUUUAAAAAUAACAAAUAAAAAUUUAAGUCUAGCUAGACUUCAUUAUGAUCGAAAUAAAAGCCUUAGGGCACCCACAAAUCUCGGUCGAAGUUCCCUCAACCCACUUUCCAGCAUCAGCUUUAGCUGGCCGCAGCGUUUCCUCGCCUUUUCCAAGUCAUUUCGAUACUUUUGAGUGUUCCGGUAAAGAUCAGCCAGCUCCUUUUUUUCCUUCUCAAUUUGGCUCAGCAGGUGGCCAUCAUGAGUCCCUUCAGCAACUCGUGUUGCAUCGUGUAUGGCAACUUCCUUCAGUUGGAUUCGCUCCAGGAUCUCAGUGCACUUGUUGCUACACAGACAAGUCUGCUUAUGAAAUUUCUCGAUAUUGGCCAUCGCCCAAUCCUCGAACUCCGCAUACUGUUUUGCCUUGAUGUCAGCGUCAGGCUGAUUUCUCUCGCGUCGAGGAGGUUCGCCGGCCAUUUUUUUCUUUUUAUUUUCGUGCUGUAUAUUUCUUAGUUCUGUUUUGAUUUCUUUUUUUGAACAGCUGCGACUGAAAGAUUCGGGGUACUAACAGAGAGGGAACUGGAGAGUUGACCAGUAUAACAAAAAUGUCCACAGGAAGGAUCGCGGAAACCUGAAGGCAGGAGGGUUGCUAAAUGGAUGUAAGAUUUCGGUGUGGGCUUCAGCACCCAAGAAAUAUAUUGUUACCCUCUCCAAAACGAUUCAUAGCAGGGGCUGGCCAGUGUUAUUCACCCUGAAGCAUUGUGUUAACAUUUCUGUUUGCCGCUCUUCUGAGACAUCCUUCGUAGGACCUGUUUGCUUUAGAAAGUAUCAGUGUAUGAUAUCCUUCCUACAAGUCCAAAUAUUGCAUGUCUUGCUUGAAAACAAAGGGA